This 477-nucleotide ribosomal RNA is filed under the name uncultured bacterium. RNAcentral describes it as "partial 16S ribosomal RNA". It matches the Rfam family "Bacterial small subunit ribosomal RNA", at positions 30 to 507 of the family's 1533-position model. The record is from RNAcentral.
AUUGAACGCUGGCGGCAUGCCUUACACAUGCAAGUCGAACGGUAACAGGUUAAGCUGACGAGUGUCGAACGGGUGAGUAAUGUAUCGGAACGUGCCCAGUCGUUGGGGAUAACUGCUCGAAAGAGCAGCUAAUACCGCAUACGACCUGAGUGUGAAAGCGGGGGAUCGCAAGACCUCGCGCGAUUGGAUCUGCCGAUAUCCGAUUAGGUAGUUGGUGAGGUAAAGGCUCACCAAGCCGACGAUCUGUAGCUGGUCUGAGAGGACGACCAGCCACACUGGGACUGAGACACGGCCCAGACUCCUACGGGAGGCAGCAGUGGGGAAUAUUGGACAAUGGGCGAAAGCCUGAUCCAGCCAUGCCGCGUGCGGGAAGAAGGCAUUCGGAUUGUAAACCGCUUUUGGCAGGGAAGAAAAGUUGCUGGCUAAUACCUGGGACUCAUGACGGUACCUGAAGAAUAAGCACCGGCUAACUACGUG